UGGCUCAGAACGAACGCUGGCGGCGUGCCUAAUACAUGCAAGUCGAGCGGUAAGGCUCCUUCGGGAGUACACGAGCGGCGGACGGCUGAGUAACACGUAGGAACGUACCCCAAAGUGAGGGAUAAGCACCAGAAAUGGUGUCUAAUACCGCAUGUGCUCUUCGGAGUAAAGCUUCGGCGCUAUGGGAACGGCCUGCGUCCGAUUAGCUAGUUGGUUAUGUAAAGGCUUACCAGGNCAACGAUCGGUAGCUGGUCUGAGAGGAUGAUCAGCCAGAUNGUCCCUCAGAACGGGAAGAACUCCUACGGGAUCANCAGAGGGG
Molecule: ribosomal RNA, 319 nt
Filed under: uncultured Candidatus Saccharibacteria bacterium
Lineage: Bacteria; Candidatus Saccharimonadota
Description: bacterial SSU rRNA
Rfam family: Bacterial small subunit ribosomal RNA
Source: RNAcentral